Molecule: ribosomal RNA, 253 nt
Filed under: uncultured bacterium
Lineage: Bacteria
Description: partial 16S ribosomal RNA
Rfam family: Bacterial small subunit ribosomal RNA
Source: RNAcentral
UACGAAGGGGGCUAGCGUUGCUCGGAAUUACUGGGCGUAAAGCGCACGUAGGCGGCUUGUUAAGUCGGGGGUGAAAUCCUGGAGCUCAACUCCAGAACUGCCUUCGAUACUGGCGAGCUUGAGUCCGGGAGAGGUGAGUGGAACUGCGAGUGUAGAGGUGAAAUUCGUAGAUAUUCGCAAGAACACCAGUGGCGAAGGCGGCUCACUGGCCCGGUACUGACGCUGAGGUGCGAAAGCGUGGGGAGCAAACAGG